Molecule: small RNA, 463 nt
Filed under: Pan troglodytes (chimpanzee)
Lineage: Eukaryota; Metazoa; Chordata; Mammalia; Primates; Hominidae
Description: retained intron
Source: RNAcentral
AGCCUGCGGCUCAGCCGGCUCAUCAGUCGGUCCGCGCCUUGCAGCUCCUCCAGAGGGACGCGCCCCGAGAUGGAGAGCAAAGCCCUGCUCGUGCUGACUCUGGCCGUGUGGCUCCAGAGUCUGACCGCCUCCCGCGGAGGGGUGGCCGCCGCCGACCAAAGAAGAGAUUUUAUUGACAUUGAAAGUAAAUUUGCCCUAAGGACCCCUGAAGACACAGCUGAGGACACUUGCCACCUCAUUCCCGGAGUAGCAGAGUCCGUGGCUACCUGUCAUUUCAAUCACAGCAGCAAAACCUUCAUGGUGAUCCAUGGCUGGACGGUAAGGGAGGCUCUUUGGGGAAGAGUGGAUUGGGGUGGUGAGGUAUCCUGACUGGCCUGCCCAAUUGUUGGGGACCCAGUGAUGGGUCCACACCCCACAUCUCACAUGGAUCUCCUUGCACUUGAAUAAAGACAGUUCUGGCUGA